Long non-coding RNA from Schistocerca gregaria, 1319 nucleotides. RefSeq lists it as uncharacterized. NCBI's taxonomy places the organism in Eukaryota, Metazoa, Arthropoda, Insecta, Orthoptera, Acrididae. The transcript has 2 exons. The record is from RefSeq and is a predicted model, not a curated record.
UAAUUGGUGGAUUUGGUAAUUGACUUGUUCCACUAAUAAUUGGUGCACCAGAUAUAGCAUUUCCACGAAUAAAUAAUAUAAGUUUUUGAUUACUACCACCUUCACUAACCCUUCUUCUUACAUCUUCUAUAGUAGAUAAUGGUGCUGGUACAGGAUGAACAGUUUACCCUCCUCUAGCAGGAGCUAUUGCACACGGGGGUGCAUCUGUAGAUCUAGCUAUUUUUUCACUGCACUUAGCAGGUGUAUCAUCUAUUCUUGGUGCAGUGAAUUUCAUUACAACAGCAAUUAAUAUACGAUCAGGAAGUAUAACUUUAGAUCAAACACCUUUAUUUGUAUGAUCUGUAGCUAUUACAGCAUUACUUCUCCUUCUUUCACUUCCAGUUUUAGCAGGAGCUAUUACUAUAUUAUUAACAGAUCGAAAUUUAAAUACAUCAUUCUUUGACCCUGCAGGAGGGGGUGACCCAAUUCUAUAUCAACAUCUAUUUUGAUUCUUUGGACACCCAGAAGUUUAUAUUUUAAUUCUACCGGGGUUCGGAAUUAUUUCACAUAUUGUAUGUCAAGAAAGAGGAAAAAUUGAAUCAUUUGGAACAUUAGGUAUAAUUUAUGCUAUACUAUCAAUUGACUAAUAGGAUUUAUUGUAUGAGCACAUCAUAUAUUUACAGUAGGAAUGGAUGUUGACACACGAGCAUAUUUUACAUCAGCAACAAUAAUUAUUGCUGUACCUACAGGAAUUAAGGUAUUUAGAUUAUUAGCUACAUUAUAUGGAACUAAAUUCAAGUUCAAUCCACCAUUAUUAUGAGCUCUAGGAUUUAUUUUCCUAUUUACAAUUGGUGGAUUAACAGGAUUAGUAUUAGCAAAUUCAUCACUUGAUAUUGUAUUACAUGAUACAUAUUAUGUAGUAGCCCACUUUCAUUAUGUAUUAUCUAUAGGAGCAGUAUUUGCAAUUAUAGGAGGUGUCAUUCAAUGAUAUCCACUAUUUACAGGAUUAACUAUAAAUAAUACAUGAUUAAAAAUCCAAUUUACAAUUAUAUUCAUUGGAGUAAAUUUAACAUUCUUUCCUCAACACAUCCUAGGAUUAGCAGGAAUACCUCGACGAUACUCUGACUACCCAGACGCAUAUACAUCAUGAAACGUAGUAUCAAGAAUUGGGUCUACAAUUUCUAUUGUAGGAAUCAUUAUAUUCAUUGUAAUUAUAUGAGAAAGAAUGAUUACAAACCGAGCAAUUAUAUUUAGAGCUAACAUAAGAAGAUCAACAGAAUGACUACAAAAUAACCCUCCUGCAGAACAUAGUUACUCAGAUUUACCAUUAAUCUCUAGAU